RNAcentral lists this ribosomal RNA (150 nucleotides) under Triticum aestivum (bread wheat). Its description in RNAcentral is "partial small subunit ribosomal RNA". The record is from RNAcentral. Lineage: Eukaryota; Viridiplantae; Streptophyta; Magnoliopsida; Poales; Poaceae.
AUGUUCGAGUAUCUAAAUGUUGUCAGCAAGAUGUUUGAUAGUGAGGCUGAAGGGUAUGAAUUCUACAACAAAUAUGCUCUUGAAAAAGGUUUUAGUGUGAGGAGAAACUACGUUGAGUGGGAUGGAUCCAACAAAUACAUAAUUUUAAGG